This 406-nucleotide ribosomal RNA is filed under the name uncultured bacterium. RNAcentral describes it as "partial 16S ribosomal RNA". It matches the Rfam family "Bacterial small subunit ribosomal RNA", at positions 30 to 526 of the family's 1533-position model. The record is from RNAcentral.
AUUGAACGCUGGCGGCAGGCCUAACACAUGCAAGUCGAGCGAGCGGCGGAUGGGUGAGUAAUGUCUGGGAAACUGCCUGAUGGAGGGGGCUAACUAAUGGAGACGGUAGUUAAUACCGCAUACCAUCAGAUGUGCCCAGAUCGGAUUAGCUAGUUGGUGGGGUAACGGCUCACCUAGGCGACGGUCCCUAGCUGGUCUGAGAGGAUGACCAGCCACACUGGAACUGAGACACGGUCCAGACUCCUACGGGAGGCAGCAGUGGGGAAUAUUGGACAAUGGGCGCAAGCCUGAUGCAGCCAUGCCGCGUGUGUGAAGAAGGCCUUCGGGUUGUAAAGCACUUUCAGCGGGGAGGCGUUACCCGCAGAAGAAGCACCGGCUAACUCCGUGCCAGCAGCCGCGGUAAUUC